Molecule: small nucleolar RNA, 107 nt
Organism: Tripterygium wilfordii
Lineage: Eukaryota; Viridiplantae; Streptophyta; Magnoliopsida; Celastrales; Celastraceae
Source: RefSeq, a predicted model, not a curated record
AACUGAUGAUGUGGACAACCAAUCAAUAGAGUCUUGUAUCGCUCCCAAGCUUGAAAGAGUGGUUCUCCCUUGUUCUGCCUGAAGUGGAAAAUCUGAUCUCUCAACCU